RNAcentral lists this transfer RNA (84 nucleotides) under Felis catus (domestic cat). It matches the Rfam family "tRNA". From Rfam's summary of the family: Transfer RNA (tRNA) molecules are approximately 80 nucleotides in length. The record is from Rfam by way of RNAcentral. Lineage: Eukaryota; Metazoa; Chordata; Mammalia; Carnivora; Felidae.
ACCUGGGUGGCUCAGUUGGUUAAGCGUCUGACUUCAGCUCAGAUCAUGAGCUCACAUUUGUGAGUUCAAGCCCCACGUCAGGCU